RNAcentral lists this microRNA precursor (95 nucleotides) under Chelydra serpentina (North American snapping turtle). RNAcentral's name for it is "mir-101-1". The stretch from base 10 to 84 matches the Rfam family "mir-101 microRNA precursor family". Rfam says of the family: The hairpin precursors (represented here) are predicted based on base pairing and cross-species conservation -- their extents are not known. Lineage: Eukaryota; Metazoa; Chordata; Testudines; Chelydridae. The record is from RNAcentral.
CUGACAGGCUGCCCUGGCUCAGUUAUCACAGUGCUGAUGCUGUCUACUCUAAAGGUACAGUACUGUGAUAACUGAAGGAUGGCAGCCAUCUUAGC